This is a non-coding RNA of Xyrichtys novacula (pearly razorfish), 1042 nucleotides long. The record is from the annotation of a GenBank genome assembly. Lineage: Eukaryota; Metazoa; Chordata; Actinopteri; Labriformes; Labridae.
GUAAAUGUUUGUGGAUCAGUCUCACCAAAAACUCUGGGUUUAGUUCUUCAUUUCAGCUUUUUGAUUCUUUUCUAAAGAUGCUGAUUUGGUCGCAGCUUUAAGGACAGUGAUUGUGGAGAACUUUGAUUGUUUGUAUUUCUCAUUUUGAAGUUUGAUAUCAAGAGUUAACCUUAACCUUAACAGUUAAGUUAGUUAAGGUUGAGGUUAAGGUUGAGGUUAAAUUAAGGUUAAGGUUGGGGUUAAGGUCAAGAUUGAGAUUGAGGUUAAGAUUAAGGUUUAGGCUGAGGUCAAAGUUGAGGUUGAGGUUGCAGUUGAGGUAAAGGUUGAGGUAAAGGUUGAGGUUAAGGUUGAAGUCAAGGUUAAGGUUGAGGUUGGGGUUGUGGUUGAGGCUGAGGUUAGGGUUUAGGUAGAGGUUAAAGUCAAGGUUGAGGCUGAGGUUAAGGUAAAGGUUAGGGUUGAGGUUAAGAGUAAGGUAAAGGUAAAGGUUGAAGUUAAGGUUGAGGCUAAGGUCAAGGUUGAGGUUGAGGCUAAGGUUGAAGUUAAGGUAAAGGUUAGGGUUGAGGUUAAGGUUAGAGUUGAGGUUGAGGUUAAGGUUGAGGCUGAGGUUAAGGUUGAGGUUGAGGCUAAGGUUGAGGUUGAGGUUAAGGUUGAGGUUGAGGCUAAGGUUGAGGUUGAGGUUAAGGUUGAGGUCAAUAUUAAGGUUGAGUUUAAGGUAAAGGUUAGGGUUGAGGUUAAGGUUAGGGUUGAGAUUGAGGUUAAGGUUAGGGUUCAGGCUAAGGUUAAGGUUGAAGCUGAGGUUAAGGUUGAGGCUAAGGUUAAGGUUAAGGCUGAGCUUAAUGUUAAGGUUGAGGCUGAGGAUGAGGUUGAGGCUGAGGUUGAUGUUAAGGUUAAGGUUGAGGUUGAGGUUGAGGUUAAGGUUGAGGCUGAGGUUAAUGUUAAGGUUAGGGUUGAGGCUAAGGUUAAGGUUGAGGCUGAGGUUAAUGUUAAGGUUAGGGUUGAGGCUAAGGUUAAGGUUGAGGCUGAGGUUGAGGUUGAGGUUGAG